AGUGGCGCACGGGAGCGUAACGCGUGGGAAUCUGCCCUUAGGUACGGAAUAACUCAGAGAAAUUUGUGCUAAUACCGUAUGAUGUCGAAAGACCAAAGAUUUAUCGCCUAAGGAUGAGCCCGCGUAAGAUUAGCUUGUUGGUGAGGUAAAAGCUCACCAAGGCGACGAUCUUUAGCUGGUCUGAGAGGAUGAUCAGCCACACUGGGACUGAGACACGGCCCAGACUCCUACGGGAGGCAGCAGUGGGGAAUAUUGGACAAUGGGCGAAAGCCUGAUCCAGCAAUGCCGCGUGAGUGAUGAAGGCCUUAGGGUUGUAAAGCUCUUUUACCAGGGAUGAUAAUGACAGUACCUGAGAACAAGCUCCGGCUAACUCCGUGCCAGCAGCCGCGGUAAUACGGAGGGAGCUAGCGUUGUUCGGAAUUACUGGGCGUAAAGAGUACGUAGGCGGUUAUUCAAGUCAGAGGUGAAAGCCUGGAGCUCAACUCCAGAACUGCCUUUGAAACUAGAUAGCUAGAAUCUUGGAGAGGUGAGUGGAAUUCCGAGUGUAGAGGUGAAAUACGUAGAUAUUCGGAAGAACACCAGUGGCGAAGGCGACUCACUGGACAAGUAUUGACGCUGAGGUACGAAAGCAUGGGGAGCAAACAGGAUUAGAUACCCUGGUAGUCCACGCCGUAAACGAUGAUAACUAGCUGUUCGGGCU
RNAcentral lists this ribosomal RNA (700 nucleotides) under uncultured Alphaproteobacteria bacterium. Its description in RNAcentral is "bacterial SSU rRNA". It matches the Rfam family "Bacterial small subunit ribosomal RNA", at positions 94 to 830 of the family's 1533-position model. Lineage: Bacteria; Pseudomonadati; Pseudomonadota; Alphaproteobacteria. The record is from RNAcentral.